Molecule: ribosomal RNA, 486 nt
Filed under: uncultured bacterium
Lineage: Bacteria
Description: bacterial SSU rRNA
Rfam family: Bacterial small subunit ribosomal RNA
Source: RNAcentral
CAGGCCUAACACAUGCAAGUCGAGCGGAUGACGGGAGCUUGCUCCUUGAUUCAGCGGCGGACGGGUGAGUAAUGCCUAGGAAUCUGCCUGGUAGUGGGGGACAACGUUUCGAAAGGAACGCUAAUACCGCAUACGUCCUACGGGAGAAAGCAGGGGACCUUCGGGCCUUGCGCUAUCAGAUGAGCCUAGGUCGGAUUAGCUAGUUGGUGAGGUAAUGGCUCACCAAGGCGACGAUCCGUAACUGGUCUGAGAGGAUGAUCAGUCACACUGGAACUGAGACACGGUCCAGACUCCUACGGGAGGCAGCAGUGGGGAAUAUUGGACAAUGGGCGAAAGCCUGAUCCAGCCAUGCCGCGUGUGUGAAGAAGGUCUUCGGAUUGUAAAGCACUUUAAGUUGGGAGGAAGGGUUGUACGCUAAUACCGUGCAAUUUUGACGUUACCGACAGAAUAAGCACCGGCUAACUCUGUGCCAGCAGCCGCGGUAAU